UCUCAGUUCGGAUUGGAGUCUGCAACUCGACUCCAUGAAGCUGGAUUCGCUAGUAAUCGCGCAUCAGCCACGGCGCGGUGAAUACGUUCCCGGGCCUUGUACACACCGCCCGUCAAGCCAUGGAAGCCGGGGGUGCCUGAAGUGCGCUGCCGCAAGGAGCGUCCUAGGGUAAAACCGGUGACUGGGGCUAAGUCGUAACAAGGUAUC
This 207-nucleotide ribosomal RNA is filed under the name uncultured bacterium. RNAcentral's name for it is "partial 16S ribosomal RNA". It matches the Rfam family "Bacterial small subunit ribosomal RNA", at positions 1286 to 1500 of the family's 1533-position model. The record is from RNAcentral.